Molecule: unclassified non-coding RNA, 252 nt
Filed under: uncultured fungus
Lineage: Eukaryota; Fungi
Description: partial contains 5.8S ribosomal RNA, internal transcribed spacer 2, and large subunit ribosomal RNA
Source: RNAcentral
AACGCACAUUGCGCCUCUUGGUAUUCCUUGAGGCAUGCCUGUUCGAGCGUCGUUUAGACAUAUGAGGCUUUGCCUUGCGAUGGGCCGUUCGGACUUUGGGUUCGAAGGUCUCAAAUUCGUUGGCGGACUCUUGCGUAGCCGUUGAGCACCCACGUGCCGAUACUGCUCCAAAAACCGCCUUAGAAAACCGGAUGCUCCCAAGUAUCCAUAAAUGUCGACCUCGGAUCAGGCAAGACUACCCGCUGAACUUAA